GGCCUACGGGGCGCAGCAGUGGGGAAUAUUGCCCAAUGGGGGAAACCCUGAUGCAGCACCGCCGCGUGCGUGCUGCCGGCCUUCGGGUUGUAAAGCUCUGUCUUCAGGGACGCUAAUGACGGUACCUGAGGAGGAAGCCACGGCUAACUACGUGCCAGCAGCCGCGGUAAUACGUAGGUGGCGAGCGUUGUCCGGCUUUACUGGACGUAAAGGGAGCGUAGACGGACUUUUAAGUGAGAUGUGAAAUACUCGGGCUCAACUUUAGGGCUGCAUUUCAAACUGUAAGUCUAGAGUGCAGGAGAGGG
RNAcentral lists this ribosomal RNA (305 nucleotides) under uncultured bacterium. RNAcentral describes it as "bacterial SSU rRNA". It matches the Rfam family "Bacterial small subunit ribosomal RNA", at positions 335 to 658 of the family's 1533-position model. The record is from RNAcentral.